AGACGCAUCGACUGCUCUUCUUGUGCCCCUGCUGACAUUCCCAAGAGAUCAAUAUCCUGUAAAAGCCUGAAGAUUGCUUCCUUUAAAUGGUCUUAUUUGGAAAAACUUAAGAUUUGAUCAUAGAUCUAUUUUAAGAAGUGCCAAGUUAACUGACAUUGAUGCCAUCGUAUCUGGAGUCCCUAGGAAAUCCAGAGGGGGACAAUGAGCCGUAGGAAGACUCGGACUCGGGUCUGCCUGUAGCACUCGGAGCCUGCAAGGCAACAUAGUUAUUGAGUUCUAUUAAAAUUACUUGGUGUGGCUAUAAACCAAACCACACCCCUCUAGCCAAUGUGAAGAGCUUCCCGUAAAAGCCGUGCGGUGGGAAGGCCUCUCGCUGUCUCCUCUGCGCGGCAGGCGGACAUGGACGACACCGAGGCGUGAGUUCAGCCUGCACCUCCUAAAGAUGAGCUGUUGAGGGCGAUGGCCACAGCAAGUCCGCACCAAGUGCUCUUUAAACAUGAGUGUUUCUUUAAACAAAGAACCUUCCCGGCAUUGCCUCCCGAGGUCUGAUUAAUGAUGCCCCGGCACCUCCUUCCUCACUCAGGGAUCACUUCCCUGCAGCGCGUUCCCAGACGCAGGCCUCCCUCACGGAGGCGGGAAGAUUUCAGGCGAUGUCUGUGCUUGUCUUUUGUCAGCACGGACAAGGAUGGAGACCCCAAUGGGUCAGGCGAGCCCCGCGGUCCCUGUUCCUCACUUCACCACCUGGGGAAGCCUGAUCCCCAUCGAUUCGCAAAGGAACAAGGAAAGAACACAUUUUACCUGGAUGGAUGGUCCCCCUCACGGUGGCCUUGGAACCCGCUUCAGCGGGAGAGGCAGCGCCUCACUCAGGGCUCCCGCUGGCCGCUGCUUUACCCGGGAGCGCCACCCCGUGCCCCGCCAGAGGAAGUGCAAGCGCCAGCACAGCACGGGCCGAAAGCCACACUGUGGGACCCGCAGCGCAGCUCCAAGAAAUCCAAAGUCCAUUCGCAAGAGGAGCUUCUCCGCCAAAUCGUUGAAAAAUAAAACGAGAAAUGAGUCUCCACCGGUAUCCGCUUUAGUCAGCCGUACGAAAACGCAACCCGGUCAGCUGCAUUUCUGCUGCCGGCCCUCCUCCAGUCAAGCACCGGCCUCGAGAAGGGCAAAGGGCAGGUAGGAGUUCCGACGCAUGCGGCCACGGGGCGGAGUCACAGUUCAGAGGCCUCAGCUGAACCUGAAGUUAUCCUAAGCUCGAGCCCCAGAGUGAGGACUCGGGGUCAGGCAUCCGAUUCCCCAUCAGCUCCUUUACUAAAGCUGUGCAGAGAAUCCGAGGCUGUGAGUGGGGGUGGGGGAAAGAUGUACAGGAUGCUUCGGUUUCACUCCUGAGAUACGAGAGCGUCCUCUGAACACACAUGCAGAUAGCUGGGCUUCUAGACAGAGGAAAUCCAAACCGUUUCUUUCCUCCCAGCAUAAGGGAACGAUCCGGUAAGAGCUGGUGUUUAUCGAUGCUACGUGCCAGAAUGGGGCUGAGCACCGCGCCUCACUGUAUCCGACGUCUGUCUAAUGAGGCAGGGAAUGUCACUGUCACACUCUGCAGACGAGGAAGCCAUGCUGUCAGCAGGUACACAUCUUGCCACAAAACCAGUAACCUGUGGCACUGAGAUCGCACACCGGUCGUCCACUGCCAAGUCCGUGGCCUCCUUCUCUGGGGUUUGCCUGCCUCUUGAUGGCGGCCAUGCCUCUGUCCUCUCACAGGGGCUGGCUCUUCCAGUGGUCACUACUUUUUGGUUGCAAGCAGCAGAGAUUCCCUGGAGGGCUUGUUGAAAGCACUCACAUCAACGGGGCCUCAGAAAGGGAGCUGAGGCCAUGCACGGCGCUGCAGUUUCUCCUCAGGCUUUGGUUUGCAUCCCUGGCCUGACUUUCCCUCAACAAGUCCUGCUAUCUCCACAAGGCGGCCAGCCCAGCCCUGUCCUCCUCACCUUCCAGCCCCAGCUGAGCAGCCCCUCCCCACAUCAUCUUCAGCUGCUGCCCAGGCUCCGCAGAGCAGGUGCCCACCGCCCAUCCAGCCGUUGUGUCUAGAGGGCAGAGCGACCUGCCGGGACCUUGACAACACCUGGCCCCACCCACACGUCCUGCAAUAUUCACUGAGGAGUGCACAGCAGCACAUAUGUGCCUCAUGUGUCCUGCUGUGAUGCGCCGAGUGGCACACAGCAUUAUUGUGUCAAUCAUGUGUCUUGAUGUGAUGCACUGGUUCCGACAGUAUCAUGGAUGCAGUGUUUCUUUAAAACUGUCAAAUUUGAGGAAACAAUCUAACAAAAGCCAAUUGAUGAAUAUUCUGUAAAGGUGACAUAAAUACUUCAAAAAUGUCUCUGACAUAGAAAGAAAAAAACAAAAAGGGAGCUAUUCCAGAUUUUAAAAAUAAAAGAUAUAGUAACU
Molecule: long non-coding RNA, 2430 nt
Filed under: Pan troglodytes (chimpanzee)
Lineage: Eukaryota; Metazoa; Chordata; Mammalia; Primates; Hominidae
Description: lincRNA
Source: RNAcentral